This 497-nucleotide ribosomal RNA is filed under the name uncultured bacterium. RNAcentral describes it as "partial 16S ribosomal RNA". It matches the Rfam family "Bacterial small subunit ribosomal RNA", at positions 28 to 507 of the family's 1533-position model. The record is from RNAcentral.
GACGAACGCUGGCGGCGUGCCUAAUACAUGCAAGUUGAGCGAUGAAGAUUGGUGCUUGCACCAAUUUGAAGAGCAGCGAACGGGUGAGUAACGCGUGGGGAAUCUGCCUUUGAGCGGGGGACAACAUUUGGAAACGAAUGCUAAUACCGCAUAAUAACUUUAAACAUAAGUUUUAAGUUUGAAAGAUGCAAUUGCAUCACUCAAAGAUGAUCCCGCGUUGUAUUAGCUAGUUGGUGAGGUAAAGGCUCACCAAGGCGAUGAUACAUAGCCGACCUGAGAGGGUGAUCGGCCACAUUGGGACUGUGACACGGCCCAAACUCCUACGGGAGGCAGCAGUAGGGAAUCUUCGGCAAUGGACGAAAGUCUGACCGAGCAACGCCGCGUGAGUGAAGAAGGUUUUCGGAUCGUAAAACUCUGUUGGUAGAGAAGAACGUUGGUGAGAGUGGAAAGCUCAUCAAGUGACGGUAACUACCCAGAAAGGGACGGCUAACUACGUG